This 23-nucleotide non-coding RNA is filed under the name Arabidopsis thaliana (thale cress). The record is from RNAcentral. Lineage: Eukaryota; Viridiplantae; Streptophyta; Magnoliopsida; Brassicales; Brassicaceae.
ACCCACUAGUUACUCGACCGCGG